AAGAAUCUGGAGACAGGUGCUGCAUGGCUGUCGUCAGCUCGUGUCGUGAGAUGUUGGGUUAAGUCCCGCAACGAGCGCAACCCUUGCCUUUAGUUGCCAGCAGUUCGGCGUGGGCACUCUAAAGGGACUGCCGGUGUUAAACCGGAGGAAGGUGGGGAUGACGUCAAGUCCUCAUGGCCUUUAUGACCAGGGCUACACACGUACUACAAUGGCCGAUACAAAGGGCAGCGACACUGCGAGGUGAAGCCAAUCCCGUAAAAUCGGUCUCAGUCCGGAUUGGAGUCUGCAACUCGACUCCAUGAAGUUGGAAUCGCUAGUAAUCGUGGAUCAGCAUGCCACGGUGAAUACGUUCCCGGGCCUU
This 361-nucleotide ribosomal RNA is filed under the name uncultured Desulfobulbus sp. Its description in RNAcentral is "bacterial SSU rRNA". It matches the Rfam family "Bacterial small subunit ribosomal RNA", at positions 1022 to 1382 of the family's 1533-position model. The record is from RNAcentral. Lineage: Bacteria; Pseudomonadati; Thermodesulfobacteriota; Desulfobulbia; Desulfobulbales; Desulfobulbaceae.